This is a long non-coding RNA of Lagopus leucura (white-tailed ptarmigan), 944 nucleotides long. RefSeq lists it as uncharacterized. The record is from RefSeq and is a predicted model, not a curated record. Lineage: Eukaryota; Metazoa; Chordata; Aves; Galliformes; Phasianidae. The transcript has 4 exons.
CUGUAUCCAGGCUAGCUUAAAAAUGCAGACAUGUUGCCAGCUGACUAGUAAGACGUUCUUCUUUCAACCUUGUUUUAAGAGGCCCCUGGUUUCUUGGAAGUGGGGGAGUGCAGCACUGAGGAGCAACGGGAAGAUGUUCUACACAUGGAGCAUGGGCAGAUGCAGCUGCUCUAGGAUCCUCUGGGCAUCUGUUUUCAUUAAAACUUCACUUGUGCAUUUGACCUAUCAGCUGGAUUCAGCAUAUGUCACUGGUAAAGGGCCAUGCCAUCCCAGUGAAGUGCAAGUGGAGAGAGAGAAGUGAGCUGUAGAAGAGACAAGAGCCUCAUGAUCUGCACUUGUCUGAUGCAGGAACAAGUACAGAGGAUGGAUAGAGUCAGAGCUUGAACACUGAAAAUAAUGAACAACAUUUUCAUGAAACACUAGCUGUCACUAGCUUCACAUUCAUCUAUCAGAUCAGUCUUUGCAACUUCUAAGUGGCGGACGAAGGAAAUCCCUAUUGCUUGAAACAGCUCCACCUGUCUAUAUGAACUUGCCACAUGGUUUUCUAAAAUACAAACUGACAAGGCCAUUUGUCUAUGAAAUGCUGCCGAAGUUGGUUUCAGAACUGGAGUGAUGAAGCCCGGUCCUAAUAGCUGUUUUCUCUUCCUUGUUGCCUUGUGUGUCAAGGAGUGUUAGCAGAGCCCUUCCCCAAAGCACAGCUAUGAAAUGAAGUACAAUGGAAUAUUCCUUGAGAAUUCUACUCAGAUGUGAAAAGAAUAAGAGUAUUUUUAAAAACAGAUUUUAAGUUGUUUGGCCUGAAAAGGUCAAAUAUGAAGAAGUGAUACUUUUGCUUUAUGUAAAAACUCAAUCACUUCUUUAAUACAUACAGCAUCAAAGUGGUUUAGUUAAGCUAUGUUAAAUUACAAUUCUGUUCUUCUUUUCUUGAUUAUAUUCAGAGUUACAAA